RNAcentral lists this ribosomal RNA (465 nucleotides) under uncultured bacterium. RNAcentral describes it as "partial 16S ribosomal RNA". It matches the Rfam family "Bacterial small subunit ribosomal RNA", at positions 338 to 795 of the family's 1533-position model. The record is from RNAcentral.
CCUACGGGAGGCUGCAGUGGGGAAUAUUGCUCAAUGGGCGAAAGCCUGACGCAGCGACGCCGCGUGCGGGAUGAAGGUCUUCGGAUCGGAAACCUCUGUCAGCAGGGAAGUACGGUCACUGUGCUAAUCAGCAGUGAAUUGACGGUACCUGCAAAGGAAGCCCCGGCUAACUCCGUCCCAGCAGCCGCGGGAAUACGGAGGGUGCGGGCGUUAAUCGGAAUUACUGGGCGUAAAGGGCUCGUAGGCGGUAUGUCAAGUCAAGGGUGAAAUGCCCGCGCUCAACGUGGGAACUGCCUUUGAAACUGGCAAACGUGAGUGUGUGGAAGGAAGGUGGAAUUCGAGGUGUAGGAAUGAAAUCCGUAGAUAUCUGGAGGAACAUCAGUGGCGAAGGCGACUAGCUGGCGCAUAACUGACGCUGAGGAGCGAAAGCGCGGGUAGCAAACAGGAUUAGAUACCCGUGUAGUC